GAUCCUGGCUCAGGACGAACGCUGGCGGCGUGCCUAAUACAUGCAAGUAGAACGCUGAAGGGAGGAGCUUGCUCUUUCCGGAUGAGUUGCGAACGGGUGAGUAACGCGUAGGUAACCUGCCUGGUAGUGGGGGAUAACUAUUGGAAACGAUAGCUAAUACCGCAUAACAGUAGAUAUCGCAUGAUAGCUGCUUGAAAGGUGCAAUUGCACCACUACCAGAUGG
Molecule: ribosomal RNA, 223 nt
Filed under: uncultured bacterium
Lineage: Bacteria
Description: partial 16S ribosomal RNA
Rfam family: Bacterial small subunit ribosomal RNA
Source: RNAcentral